Manduca sexta (tobacco hornworm) is the source of this 460-nucleotide long non-coding RNA. RefSeq lists it as uncharacterized. The record is from RefSeq and is a predicted model, not a curated record. The transcript is spliced from 2 exons. NCBI's taxonomy places the organism in Eukaryota, Metazoa, Arthropoda, Insecta, Lepidoptera, Sphingidae.
CGAAAGGUCGCGAAAUCAUUGAAAGGCUGGCAACACCAAAGUGAGUAUUUGCUGAUGUAUACAUAGAUAUACUGAGUAUGUUCCUAUAUUUACGCAGAUAUUGUGAGUAUCUUUCACCAAAUAUAAGUAUAUUAUAUUAUGAAUAUUGUCCAUAGAUAGAAUACUAUAUCGUCUAUGUGUAUUAAGUGAGUUUUGCACACUUUUCUGUUGAGAGUACCGCGUACAGAAUAUAUCUUGCAUGAGUGAGUGAGUGGUUUACUGUAGUACCAACAUUCCCUGACUAUAAAGUUACAAUAUGGCCGAAAGUACAAAUGCGCGCCAUUUAAGUAGAACUUUUGAAGUUGUGUUUAACUAAAGAUCUAAACAUAUAAAUGAGCAGUCUCUCUGACGUGAUAUAUAUAAGAUAUCUAGGAAUGUUGUCUUGGAAGACCACAGUCCGUAUAACACAGAACAUUACAAG